Molecule: long non-coding RNA, 3007 nt
Organism: Heterocephalus glaber (naked mole-rat)
Lineage: Eukaryota; Metazoa; Chordata; Mammalia; Rodentia; Bathyergidae
Source: Ensembl
CUGUGCAGCAGUGCGGUUCUGCCCAGGUCCAGAGCUGCGAACUCUGGGCUGGCAGAGGCUGGGCACUAUGGGGUAGGCAGCUGCCCUGGCUUGAGGGGAGCUGUGGCCACUGUGGGGUGCAGGGCUGUCACCUAGAACUGCUGAGCAAAGAGCCGACAUGGCAUCGGAUGCCACUUGCAGCCCACGGCCUGCCAGCUGCCCUCCCUAUAACUCCUGCAGAGCAACUACAAGGAGACUCCAAACGCAAGAGCAACCUGGGAGCCCGACUGCGAAGGGUGCACGGCUGAGCUCUGGGGAGAGGAGGGGCCAGACACUGGCUCAAGGGCCUUCAAGGCCACCCUAGGGCCAUAGCCACAGAGUCUCCCAGCUAGUGCCGCACAUGACGGACAGGAGGAAAAAGCAGGGCAUCCUCUGGGCCCAGACUCAUGUGCACACAAAUCUAGACUGCGGCCUUGUUGGAAAAGGGUCUCUGCAGACAUAACGAAGUCAAGGAGAUCGGUGUUCAGGGUUAUCCAGCCGAGGGGCCUAGAAUUGCCAGGGACUGGACUCCACUCCCAGCCUCAGAGGGGCACAGCUUGGAGCACCCAGGCAACUUCAGCGCUCAGAGUGCCUGGUGCUUUGUCACAGCAGCCAGAGGACACUGAGACACGGAUAGCUGCAUUGUGUUGUUGGGGAAGCUGUGACUCAUCACAGGCCACAGCCACGCUCCUGCCCCUGUGCCUGUUAAUGUGCAGAGCUGAGAACCAACAGAAAAGCCAUCCCAGCCACCAGCUGUGUGAGGGGCAGCCCUCCUGUUUCUUUCCCGGAGGCCUGCUGCUCCUCUGAAGACCCUGCAGCUCACCCUACAGACCUCCACCAGGCCAGAGAGGCUGCCAAGGGAAGGACGGGGGCCUCCUAAGACCCCUAGGAAGAUGCUCAAGGCAACGUCACACACAGGAAAACCUUGCAAGCAGCAGGAAUGGAAGUGGCUGGGCCACUCCUUGUGGGGUGGCUGAGGAGAGCAGGUACCCGACACCCCGCUGGCAGGGUGGGGUUCUCCAGGACCCUGCAGUGGGCCAGCUGCCCAGGGGAUGAGGUCACAUGACAGGAGACCGGCCCUGGCUGCUGCAUCCACCCGUCCGAGUCUCUGUCCAUGGCCCGUGCAGUUCUCAGCAACAGGAGACUCGGAGGUGGCCCCAGGAGCCCUGCUUCAGAGCGAAGAAGAUGGGGUCCACAGCCCCCAGAGAGCAGGGCACCAGGGAGGGUUGGGGCUGCUGCAGGCCCCCGGCUGGCUGGCACCCCCAGUGGCCGGGUAUGCACACCCACUCUGGUGCCCUAACCCUCCUGCCAGCUCCACAGGGUCCCCUCACACAGUGCCCGAGGCCAAGGGACCCUAGAACUGUGGAGCUGGACCUGUGCUGCUGUCCCACAGCAGGACCUUGGCAGAGUCCCGGGGCACUCUUCCAGGGCCACCCUGUCCCAGCCCCUGGCUGAGCUCAGGCACCUCCUGUGAGUGUCCAGGCUGCAGGCAGAUCACGCCCCAGAGGCAGCUGUGGCCACGGGCAAUGGAGAGGCCACCUGGUCAGGCAUCAGCAGGCAGCCAGGCCCCGGCUGCUGGGGGAGCCCGCGCACCACUGCCUCCCAUAAUUUCCAGUGAAAAAGCAGUUAGACACCGACUGCAGCCUUGGGGAGGGCCUUUUGGUGGUGUCCUGCAGCCCGUGGUCCCCACCCGCCUGUCUGCAACCUGUGUCCCGGUGCCCAUGUCCACCACAGCAGCCCAGGUGAGCUGUGCUGGCUGGGCCAGAGCUGGGCAGGCCAAGAGGAGAUGCACGAGGCAGACCGGCACAGCAUGUGAGCCCCGUGCCGCCCGGCUGCCUGUGCAGCAUCCUCUCUGUGGCAACACCCCUAGGCCAGCUGUGGCCCGGCACGUGGAGCUUCUGCAGCUUUCAUAUCUCUUGCCAACCAUGUUUCCAGCCGCUGCACAUCACUGUUCUCCAGGCCACUUCCAGGCCACCUCAUGCCAGGGUGGGGACACCAGUGGUGCAAACUAUGUGUGGAUUGGUGUCCCAGGGCACUGAAGGCCGGGAGACCUGGGCUGCUUAGGGUCCAGGCCGUCCCAUGGCUACUAAGGACCCCUUCUCCCCAUUCCCAUCCUCUGCAGCCAUAGGAGCUGCCCCUGGGAGGUGCCCAGAGACCAUGCCUCCUCCCCGGUUUGCUCCUCAGGCAGGGCAAGGGCCUCGUACAGUUGUAGCCAUGGCUGAAGUUCCUGACCACCUGGAACGCGGCACAGUAGAGGGAACCAGGCAUCUGAGGAAUGGGUACUGUGGCCACAACUGGUGUCACAUGUGGCCAGGAAGGUGGAGGGAUGGGGCACCAAACAGCCUGUGUGAGCUGGAGGCUCUCUGGAGCUUCCGGUGCUUCUCCAUGCCUAGUUGCAGUCCGCACCAGUCUCUGCCUCUGUCCCCUGCCCAGCCACCAUGGGUGCAGUGCCUCUGAACACACCCAGCAGCACGGAGCCCUGGCGCUCACAGCAAGGCGAGCCCAGGCCAGCACAAAUGCGGGCUGACAGGGAGGGCGAGCCUGGGCCCAUAAGGCUGGCGGGCGGCUGUGCACGUCCCUCGGGGCCUCCUGAGGCCCCCUGCUCUGUGGCUGAGGACCUGGCCUUAAUCCCACCUGGCCUGCUUGCUGCUCUGCUCCUUGUGCACGGCCUUGGGCUGCCCACCCCCUGAACCUCCGCGGGGGUGGGGACCCCGAGGCGAGGCGUGGGAGCUGCUGUGGUCACUAUCUCUCACCACUUCUGUUGCUGCCAAGCUUGGUACAGUGCGGCUCAUGUGUGGGCAUGGCCAGGGUGCCGUGGGCAUGGCCAGGGUGCCAUGUGCACCCGGGCACCAGCCAGCAGGGGGAAGGCCCCCAGGAAGUGAGCCCCCAGCAGGAGCCCCUGCCCAGCCCAGCAGAGGCCUCGCCCCAUGGGCCGUGCCAGGGGUCUGACCUGCCGCAGGGUGGGGGCUGCAGUGUUGCAGUGCUGAGG